UGAGGGAAAGUUGCAAAGAACUUUGAAGAGAGAGUUCAAGAGUACGUGAAACUGUUCAGAGGCAAACGGGUGGGCCCUCGAAAUCCAUCUGCGGAGGGAUUCAGUCGGAAGGUUUCGCGACGGAGGCGAGGUCGCUUCUCGGACCCCUGACAGGGCCGGAGGCGACUCUCGCGGUCUCCGUUCCGUCCGACGCACUUCCCCCCGCACCUCGGACGCCGCUACCGGUCGGGUAGCUGCCAGAGUCGGCCUUGAGGACGAGCAGCGGCAGGUGACCGGGGAAAGGAAACUCGUUUUCCUCCUCCGGUUGUUAGCCAGCCCGUUUCCGUGGCGCGACACCCGACCGAGGUCACGGUCUCCCUCGCGGGAGACUCGCCGUCCCCUGCCUCCAGGCAGCGGGUCUCUUCCGCAGUCGUGCUCCGGAUCGACGUGCGCACUCGCGUAGUGGCACGACGGUUCCGGGUGCCCCCGUUGGCGGAGGAGGUCCCGCGGAGGGGUGGUUCUGACGGUGAGCGGCGAGUAGGUCGGUCACCCACCCGACCCGUCUUGAAACACGGACCAAGGAGUCUAACAUGUGCGCGAGUCGCAGGGUCUUGAACAGGCCCGUGGGCGCAAUGAAAGUGAAGACCUUCAAGGGUCGAGUCGGGACUCCUUUCGAGGAAGCACCGACGACCCGUCCCGUCCGACACGUCGGAUGGGCGGAGUGCGAGCGCACACGUUGGGACCCGAAAGAUGGCGAACUAUGCCUGGGCAGAACGAAGCCAGAGGAAACUCUGGUGGAGGUUCGUAGCGGUUCUGACGUGCAAAUCGAUCGUCAGACCUGGG
RNAcentral lists this ribosomal RNA (822 nucleotides) under Pholcidae gen. n. sp. MACN270. RNAcentral's name for it is "partial 28S ribosomal RNA". It matches the Rfam family "Eukaryotic large subunit ribosomal RNA", at positions 354 to 915 of the family's 3401-position model. Lineage: Eukaryota; Metazoa; Arthropoda; Arachnida; Araneae; Pholcidae. The record is from RNAcentral.